AUGGCCGAGGCCGUCCGGGACGAUCAUCGUGGCGCGGUCGGCGUCGCGGUGGACGACCGCACCAACAACGGCGACAGCACGUGGGAGAUAGAGGAGUUGGAGCCGGACGACCGGACGGCCGGACCGCCUCCUCCCCCUCCUCCCGGGGCAGCGGCCAUCUCUGACGCCGACGACGUGUACGUGGCGGUGGGCAAGGGCGGGUCCAGCAUGGCGGCGCUGUCGUGGGCGCUGACGCAGCUCGCAAGGCCGCGGAGCUUCGUCUACCUCGUGCACGUCUUCCCCGUCGUCGCCACCAUCCCCACCCCAUGUAAUCAAGCAACCCUCUUCUCCCCCUUUCCUACCUCCUGA
This 348-nucleotide ribosomal RNA is filed under the name Triticum aestivum (bread wheat). Its description in RNAcentral is "partial small subunit ribosomal RNA". Lineage: Eukaryota; Viridiplantae; Streptophyta; Magnoliopsida; Poales; Poaceae. The record is from RNAcentral.